Long non-coding RNA from Anguilla rostrata (American eel), 1541 nucleotides. RefSeq lists it as uncharacterized. The transcript has 2 exons. Lineage: Eukaryota; Metazoa; Chordata; Actinopteri; Anguilliformes; Anguillidae. The record is from RefSeq and is a predicted model, not a curated record.
AAAACAUGUUUGAAGGUUGACAAGGAAACAGAAACACCAGAGUGAGUAUCAGCUGUGUAAGGAUGGUAUGAUCUCAGAAACACACACAACUCCGUCUGGUUUCCCUGCACUCUUAAACUUUGCUCUAAUCAAGGGGCCUGUCUGUUUGGGAAGACCUGAUGAUCAUUGUCCUUGAUGAGACACUGAUUAUUUUGAACUUGUUUUGCUUUCCUUUCUGUUCAUCCUAAUCUAUUGGAGCUUUUAUCCCAAUGCCUCCUGUAAUGAAUGGACCUAAACUUUGAUGUGAGUCACUAAAACGAGAAGAGAGCUAUGGACGCAAAGGGAGUUGCAAGAGGAAGAGGAAGAGGAAGAGAAGAGAGAGAUAAUGAAAGAGGACCAGGGGACAAAGAGGCAAUGAGUGGAGAAGGGAUUAAAGGCGGAGGACGAAGAGGUCAAGUGAGAGGGAGAGGACCAGGAAGAGCCAGAGGAGAUCUAACCCAACAAGAAGGAGGCGAAGGAAAAAGGGAAGAAAUCAUCAAUGCGGCCACAGAGAGCAAGAACAGAGGGAUGGGGAAGAGAGGAGCGAAGGCUAGGCCGGGACAAGGUGAAAGCAGAGGAAAAGGACCAGAUACAGUGGUUGAACCAGAAGGAAGGGAGACCGAAACACAAGGUGAUACAACAGGAAAUGGACUGUACUUAGACAGGGUUGAUUUUAUUCAGCUGCUGAGAUUACUGCACAUCACACUGCCGGUGGACAUUACAUCCCACAGAGCAAUAGAAAUCUCAAAAGCAGAACAAAGUAUCAAGGAUGCUGAAACACUCAUUAGAGAACUAGAAAACUUUAAACUCGCCUUCAAGUCUUGUCCUCGACUGCCAAGCAGGAAGGUGAAGCGUGCUUUGGAACUUAAAGAGGGAGGAAAUGUGCUGGACCUGACCCGGCUCAUCUUCUUUGAAAAAAAAGAGAAUGGAGAGAAAAGUCGCAAGCAGUGGGAAGCCAACACAUCCAACACCGGUCACGGAUUCAAGCUCAGGGAAAAUUACAUGAUGACACCCAUUUCAACUCCACCCAUGUACUCCACUGCAAAAACCCGGAGCUGGAAGUCAGUGGAUGUUGGGACAGACUCACCACGGGUUACGGAAGGAACGAGGGUGAACACUGAGGUCACAAAGGGCAGGAAGUUUGUAGAUGAGACAUCCCUGUGGAAUGGAGAAAACUCAGCAAAAAAGUUUGGCAAGAACGACGACGAUGAGGCGGAGUCACUGAAGUUCUUUCUUGGCCUACAAGACGCAUCAGAUUACAAGGAUGCCAGUUACACCAAGGGGAACACUGUAGAGUAUGGAUUCCUUACAGGGACACUAGAUUUUCUUGGAGAGGUCAAAAAUCACAGUGACAAAAGUGUAAGCAAGAGAGUGGUGAUCGAGUGUAAAAGCACAACAGGUGACAUGGUGGACAAGUUGUACACCAAAACCCCAAAUACCCAAAACGCUUGUGUCAAAAAGGACCACGUGUACAGCGUUCAAGUGCAGACCUACCUUUACAUCCUUGAUAAAGUAGCAAAGAU